This 158-nucleotide ribosomal RNA is filed under the name Rheinheimera sp. RNAcentral's name for it is "partial 16S ribosomal RNA". It matches the Rfam family "Bacterial small subunit ribosomal RNA", at positions 1 to 167 of the family's 1533-position model. Lineage: Bacteria; Pseudomonadati; Pseudomonadota; Gammaproteobacteria; Chromatiales; Chromatiaceae. The record is from RNAcentral.
UUUUAAUUGAAGAGUUUGAUCAUGGCUCAGAUUGAACGCUGGCGGCAGGCCUAACACAUGCAAGUCGAGCGGGGUUUUCGGACCUAGCGGCGGACGGGUGAGUAAUGCGUAGGAAGCUACCCGAUAGAGGGGGAUACCAGUUGGAAACGACUGUUAAU